GAUCGGGUGGUGCGCAGUGGGUAUGCGCGCCGAGAAUUGAUCGGAUGUUGUCGUCUCUAUUGGGCAGACCGCCGGGGCCCGACGGCGC
This 88-nucleotide non-coding RNA is filed under the name uncultured Marivita sp. RNAcentral's name for it is "Rhodo-rpoB RNA". It matches the Rfam family "Rhodo-rpoB RNA". Lineage: Bacteria; Pseudomonadati; Pseudomonadota; Alphaproteobacteria; Rhodobacterales; Roseobacteraceae. The record is from RNAcentral.